GGCCCCUUAGCUCAGUUGGUUAGAGCAGGCGACUCAUAAUCGCUUGGUCACUGGUUCAAGUCCAGUAGGCCACCA
RNAcentral lists this transfer RNA (75 nucleotides) under Proteus vulgaris. RNAcentral describes it as "tRNA-Ile". It matches the Rfam family "tRNA". From Rfam's summary of the family: Transfer RNA (tRNA) molecules are approximately 80 nucleotides in length. Their secondary structure includes four short double-helical elements and three loops (D, anti-codon, and T loops). The record is from RNAcentral. Lineage: Bacteria; Pseudomonadati; Pseudomonadota; Gammaproteobacteria; Enterobacterales; Morganellaceae.